CGUGCCGGGGGGAGAAACCCUGAAUGCAGCGAGCCGCGUGAGCGAAGAAGUAUUUCGGUAUGUAAAGCUCUAUCAGCAGGGAAGAAAAUGACGGUACCUGACUAAGAAGCACCGGCUAAAUACGUGCCAGCAGCCGCGGUAAUACGUAUGGUGCAAGCGUUAUCCGGAUUUACUGGGUGUAAAGGGAGCGUAGACGGUUGUGUAAGUCUGAUGUGAAAGCCCGGGGCUCAACCCCGGGACUGCAUUGGAAACUAUGUAACUAGAGUGUCGGAGAGGUAAGCGGAAUUCCUAGUGUAGCGGUGAAAUGCGUAGAUAUUAGGAGGAACACCAGUGGCGAAGGCGGCUUACUGGACGAUCACUGACGUUGAGGCUCGAAAGCGUGGGGAGCAAACAGGAUUAGAUACCCUGGUAGUCCACGCCGUAAACGAUGACUACUAGGUGUCGGGGAGCAAAGCUCUUCGGUGCCGCAGCAAACGCAAUAAGUAGUCCACCUGGGGAGUACGUUCGCAAGAAUGAAACUCAAAGGAAUUGACGG
This 535-nucleotide ribosomal RNA is filed under the name uncultured bacterium. Its description in RNAcentral is "bacterial SSU rRNA". It matches the Rfam family "Bacterial small subunit ribosomal RNA", at positions 367 to 916 of the family's 1533-position model. The record is from RNAcentral.